Molecule: ribosomal RNA, 378 nt
Filed under: Doryctobracon crawfordi
Lineage: Eukaryota; Metazoa; Arthropoda; Insecta; Hymenoptera; Braconidae
Description: partial 16S ribosomal RNA
Source: RNAcentral
AUCUUUUUUAUUAAUAAGAUCUUUUAAAAAAAAUUAUGCUGUUAUCCCUAAGGUAAUUGAUUUUUUAAUUUAAAGUAUAAGAAUAUUUAAUCAAUAAUUAUUGUUUUUAAAAAAAAAAUUUAAUUAAUUUUUAAAUUACCCCAAUUAAAUUUAUUAAAAAUAUUUAUUUUAAAUAAAUUUAAUAAAAUUAUUUUAAUAAAUAAAAUUCUAUAGGGUCUUGUCGUCUUUUAUUUUUAUUUAAGUUUUUUAACUUAAAUAAAAAUUUAAAUUUAAAUUUAAUUGAUAUAGUUUAUAUUUCAAUUAAUCGUUCAUUCUAGUUUUUAAUUAAAAAACAAAUUAUUAUGCUACCUUUGUACAAUAAAAAUUUUGCAGCCAUUU